This 90-nucleotide transfer RNA is filed under the name bacterium. RNAcentral describes it as "tRNA-Ile". It matches the Rfam family "tRNA". From Rfam's summary of the family: Transfer RNA (tRNA) molecules are approximately 80 nucleotides in length. The record is from RNAcentral.
GGAGGGGUGGGCGAGAGGCCUAAACCAGUCGUCUUAUAAACGACCGACGUGCUGAUACCACGUCCGAGGGUUCGAAUCCCUUCCCCUCCG